GACGAACGCUGGCGGCGUGCUUAACACAUGCAAGUCGAACGGAAAGGCCCUGCUUUUGUGGGGUGCUCGAUUGGCGAACGGGUGAGUAACACGUGAGUAACCUGCCCUUGACUUUGGGAUAACUUCAGGAAACUGGGGCUAAUACCGGAUAGGAGCUCCUGCUGCAUGGUGGGGGUUGGAAAGUUUCGGCGGUUGGGGAUGGACUCGCGGCUUAUCAGCUUGUUGGUGGGGUAGUUGCUUACCAAGGCUUUGACGGGUAGCCGGCCUGAGAGGGUGAACGGGCACAUGGGGACUAAGAGACGGACCAGACUCCAAUGGGAGGCAGCAGUGGGGAACAUUGCACAAUGGGCGGAAGCCUGAUGCAGCGACGCCGCGUGCGGGAUGACGGCCUUCGGGUUGUAAACCGCUUUCGCCUGUGACGAAGCGUGAGUGACGGUAAUGGGUAAAGAAGCACCGGCUAACUACGUG
RNAcentral lists this ribosomal RNA (468 nucleotides) under uncultured bacterium. RNAcentral describes it as "partial 16S ribosomal RNA". It matches the Rfam family "Bacterial small subunit ribosomal RNA", at positions 28 to 507 of the family's 1533-position model. The record is from RNAcentral.